CCUAGACUCCAGUGGUCACUUUCACAGCUACAGUGUGCAUCAAUACCAGGAAACUGAUGUUGGACCCACAUAAACAUACAAACCUGUGUGCUCUCAUCACAGCGUGAGUUUGCAUAACCACAGCUACAGCCAAGGUACAGGAAGAGUGCCCCCGUGCCACUCGCUGGUACAGGCAUGUCCCUUCUGCGUUUUACUGCCUACCACGCACAACUGCUGCUGAUCGCUGUUCAGAUUCCAUAAUCCUGGGCAUGAUGACAAAGGAAGGAGACAAUCACUAGUCCUGUACAGCUUCCCACAGCAAUGAGCAGCACUGCAAGAUACCCCAAAAGCAGGGAACACCCAGGGUUUCAGCAUCAAAGGAACACCUAUGGCAGCUGCCUUGUGAACUGAGCAGCCUCCAGAGCCUCUGACCCUGCAGGACGAAGCCACCAUUGCUGGACUACCCAGUCCUGAUGUGCGAACCAAUCUAGUAGAUUGCUUUUGAAUGUAAACACAUUCUAUUAGUUCCCAGGCCCUAGAGGACCUUAACUCAUACAUUCAUAAUUUUAAAAAAUAUUUAUUUUUGCAUUGUGA
Molecule: long non-coding RNA, 573 nt
Organism: Mus musculus (house mouse)
Lineage: Eukaryota; Metazoa; Chordata; Mammalia; Rodentia; Muridae
Product: predicted gene, 40264
Exons: 3
Source: RefSeq, a predicted model, not a curated record